CCUACGGGUGGCAGCAGUAGGGAAUAUUGCUCAAUGGGGGAAACUCUGACGCAGCAACGCCGCGUGGAGGAUGAAGGUUUUAGGAUUGUAAACUCCUUUUGUAAGAGAAGAUAAUGACGGUAUCUCCCGAAUAAUCACCGGCUACCUCCGAGCCAGCAGCAGCGGUAAUACGGAGGGGGCAAGCGUUACUCGGAAUCACUGGGCGUAAAGAGUGCGCAGGCGGGCUUGUAAGUCAGAUGUGAAAUCCUGUAGCUUAACUACAGAACUGCAUUUGAAACUAUGAGUCUAGAGUGUGGGAGAGGUAGGUGGAAUUCUUGGUGUAGGGGUAAAAUCCGUAGAUAGUAAGAGGAAUACUCAUUGCGAAGGCGACCUACUGGAACAUGACUGACGCUCAUGCACGAAAGCGUGGGGAGCAAACAGGAUUAGAUACCCGUGUAGUC
RNAcentral lists this ribosomal RNA (440 nucleotides) under uncultured bacterium. RNAcentral describes it as "partial 16S ribosomal RNA". It matches the Rfam family "Bacterial small subunit ribosomal RNA", at positions 338 to 795 of the family's 1533-position model. The record is from RNAcentral.